Molecule: RNA transcript, 4478 nt
Organism: Drosophila bipectinata
Lineage: Eukaryota; Metazoa; Arthropoda; Insecta; Diptera; Drosophilidae
Gene: l(2)gl
Gene name: LLGL domain-containing protein l(2)gl
Source: RefSeq, a predicted model, not a curated record
UACUAACGAAAGGCCAUCUCUAGUUUUAUGCAUAGCCACGCAUGCCCGCUAUAUCUUAAGUUCGUGUUGUGUUCGUGUUUAAUUAAGCUAACUGAAAUCGGGAUACCAAUGUGAUAAGAACGCGCGUCCUAAGCGAGGUGAAAAAUGUACAUGGGCGUGUGAGCAGAGCCGAAACCGAACGCAGAAAGCAGCAAACAAUUCCACCGAGCCACCGCCUAACUGCGCAACGGCGAGUAAAUUAGUCGUUACCUGAAUCGAAUACACACACCGACAGCCACCAUGUUGAAGUUCAUACGAGGCAAGGGCCAGCAGCCCACCGCGGAGCGGCAGCGCCUGCAGAAGGAUCUAUUUGCAUACCGCAAGACCGCGCAACAUGGAUUCCCCCACAAGCCCUCGGCGCUGGCCUACGAUCCGGUGUCGAAGCUCAUGGCGAUCGGCACCCAGACGGGCGCCAUCAAGGUCUUCGGCCAGCCCGGCGUGGAGCUGUACGCCCAGCACACCCUGGUCAACAAUUCGGCAGCGGAGCUGAACGUCCAGCUCCUGGAGUGGGUCUACGGCACGGGCCGCAUUCUCUCGCUGACAGCCGCCAACCAGCUCAUCCUGUGGGAGCCCGUGGGCAGUACCCUGGUGGCCAUCAAGUCACUGCCCUUCGACGGCAAACUCAAGAAGGUCUCUUCCCUGUGCUGCUCCCUGAACAAGGAUGUGCUGUGGAUCGGAACGGAGGGCGGCAACAUCUACCAACUGGACCUGCACUCCUUCACCAUACGGGAGCCGGUCAUCUACCACGACGUGGUGCUGGAGCAGGUCCCGCCCGCCUACAAACUGAACCCGGGCGCGAUCGAGUCCAUCCGCCAGCUGCCCAACGCCCUCAACAAGCUGCUCAUCGCCUACAAUCGGGGACUGUGCGUGCUGUGGGACCUGGACACGUCUUCCGUGGAGCGCGCCUACAUAGCGCCCGGACACGGACAGAGCGUGGGACUCUCGGUGCACACUGAUGGCUCCGAGUUCAGCUGGUACCACGCGGACGGCUCCUACGCCACCUGGAACAUAGGCAGCGCCGAUCCCCCCAAGAACGUCAACUACGUGCCCUACGGCCCGGACCCGUGCAAGAGCAUCAAUCGCCUCUUCAAAGGCAAGAGGGGUUCCAGCGAUGUGAUUGUGUUCUCCGGAGGGAUGCCCCGCUCCGCCUACGGGGACCACAACUGCGUGUCCGUGCACGUCAGCGAUGGGGAGAAGGUGUGCCUCGACUUCACCUCCAAGGUGAUUGACUUCUUCGUCACCUACAAGGAGGACAGCGACGUGGCCCAGGUGCUGAUUGUGCUGCUGGAGGAGGAGCUGUGUGCCUACGACCUCACGGACUCCAACAUACCCGCCAUCAAGGCGCCCUACCUCCACUCGGUGCACGCGUCGGCCGUCACCUGCAACUACCUCGCCUCCCAGGUAAACCAGGCCGUGUACGAGCGCAUACUGCGCGCCGGGGACGAGCAGGACAUCGACUACAGCAGCAUUGACUGGCCCAUCACCGGCGGUGUGCUGCCCGAAGACGAGGCCGCCGCCGCCUCGGACGAGGAGGAGGCCGCAAAGGAGUACGAGAUUCUGCUGACCGGCCACGAGGACGGCUCCGUCAAAUUCUGGGACUGCACUGGUGUGCUGCUGAAGCCGAUCUACAACUUCAAGACGGCGGGCAUUUUCGGAAACGAACACGACUUCCGGGACGAGACGGCUGCUGACAAUGCGGACCCGCUGGACGAGGGGGAGCCUCCCUUCCGGAAGGCCGGUCUCUUCGAUCCCUACUCCGACGAUCCCCGGCUGGCCGUCAAGAAGAUAGCCCUGUGCCCCAAGACGGGUCAGCUCAUUGUUGGCGGCACAGCUGGACAGAUCGUGAUCGCGGACUUUGACGACGCCGCCGAGGAGAGCGGCCCCCUGAAGUACAGCUCCAUGAACUUGGUCAGCGACCGCGACGGGUUCGUGUGGAAGGGACACGAUCAGCUGAAUGUGCGGGCAAACCUGCUGGAGGCCAGCGCUGCCCCCUUGGCUGAGAACGGCGUGAACAUCACGGGGGUGCUGCAGGUCCUGCCGCCGGCUAGCAUCACAUGCAUGGCUCUCGAGGCCAACUGGGGCCUGGUGUCCGGAGGAACUGCCCACGGACUGGUGCUCUUCGACUUCAAGAACUUUGUGCCGGUCUUCCAUCGGUGCACCCUGAACCCGAACGAUCUCACCGGGGCCGGCGAGCAGCUGUCCCGCCGCAAGUCGUUUAAGAAGUCGCUGCGCGAGUCCUUCCGGAAGCUACGCAAGGGCCGCUCGACCCGGAACAACCCCACCAACCAGGUUCCGACAACGCUGGAGGCACGACCUGUGGAGCGGCAAAUCGAGGCCCGCAAUGCCGACGACGGGCUGGGAUCGAUGGUGCGCUGCUUGCUGUUCGCGAAAACCUACGUGACGAACGUCAACAUAACAUCACCCACCCUGUGGUCGGCCACGAACUCGAGCACCGUCUCGGUGUUCCUCCUGCACUUGCCCCCGGCGCAGACCGCCGCCACCGCGAUACCCCCGAUAAGUGGCAACGCUGCGCCCCAAACCCCACGUCGUAUUUCCGCGCAGCUCGCCAAGGAAAUUCAGCUCAAGCACCGAGCCCCCGUCGUGGGCAUAUCCAUUUUCGAUCAGACUGGCUGCCCGGUGGAUCAGCUGAACGCCGGCGAGAACGGAACACCACCCCACCGCCUGCUCAUCGCCUCCGAGGAGCAGUUCAAGGUGUUCUCCCUUCCGCAGCUGAAGCCGAUCAACAAGUACAAGCUGACCGCCAACGAGGGCGCCCGCAUCCGGCGCAUCCACUUCGGAUCGUUCAGCUGCCGCAUUUCGCCGGAGCUCCUGCAGAGCCUCCACGCCGGAAGUCCCACCAAGUCCACGCGCUCCCACGGCGAGGCCGACGGAGCGGCCAAUACCAGCGCCACCUCGGGUGGACGCGGGGAUCUGUACCACGAGAUGGCCCUGAUUUGCCUCACCAACAUGGGAGACAUCAUGGUGCUGUCAGUGCCGGAGCUGAAGAGGCAGCUGAACGCCGCGGCAGUGCGACGGGAGGACAUCAACGGAAUUUCGUCCCUUUGCUUCACCAACGCUGGCGAGGCCCUGUACAUGAUGUCUUCCUCGGAACUGCAGCGCAUCGCCCUGGCCACCUCCAAAGUGGUGCAGCCCACAGGCGUAGUGGAAGUGGAGCCGCUGGAGAGCGAAGAGACCUCGCUGCCGGCCAACGACGAGGACGAAAGCGACAAGGAGACGGACCUCCAGAAGGAAGUGAACGAAGCUAUCAAGGAGCCGCCUGUGGCCACCCAGCGCGUCAAGCCCGUGGAAGUGAGUGUGGACCGAAGCAGUCUGCACCUGGCCAAUGGCAUCAGCAGCAGCAACUCACCCAACCGUGCCAACGAGACCAUCACCAGUUCUAUCGGUGACAUCACCGUCGAUUCGGUGCGUGACCAUCUGAACACCACCACGACCACCUUGUGUUCCACGACUACAGAGGAGACUGUGGGUCGAUAAUCUGUGCUUAGCACGCAAACCAACCAGCAGACCACCACCGUCAAUGUCAACGACAUUCCGAACAUCAACAUCCCCAACCUGAUGGACUUGGCCUCGAAAAGCAACACCACCGAGACGAGCACCAGCUCCGUGGUGAUCAAGUCGGUCAUCACGAGCAUAUCCCACGAUAAGACGAACGGCGAGAGCGAGGCCCGGACGACCAAGACCACGACGCACGAGGAGAGCCAGUUCUAGACGGGCCAGGUCGGUCCAACACCCAGCAUACCAGAUGCUCACCAGGAAUUUACGGAUGAAGGCCAACUCGGCCACCCACUCGACAAGUUUCGCACAAUUUGAUUCGCAUUGACGGAGAGGAAGCCCAUUUCACAACCAUAUCGCACAGUCAGUGCCCCACCAUGCUUACGUCUUUGGCGUAUCUAGGGGGGACACUCUUGUGUCGGCCACACAACACCACUUUCUUCUGAAGAAACUGAAACUUGAUGUGCUCCACUGUGGCCGCAACUGUAUUUUAGUUUGUAGAUCGACCCCCUGACACUUUUAAGAGACGCGACCGCGGAGGUCAACCAACGGUCCACGAACAGCAACUAUUGCAUUUUAUUCGAAACAACAAUCUAUAUUUAAUAUCAUUGCACGUUAUUUUUGUAAUCCAUGUUUUUGUAAGCCCAUAUUGUACUUUUACAACCGACGCCGUUUAAAUAUGAUAGUGAAAUUUAGCAUACCUGUAGUGAUUUGAUGUUGACCAGGAGUGACCAGCUCCCAGGAGUAUUUCCACGCCUACUUAUAGACACCGCCCUGUUCCGAGACCCACCAGGUCCACAAUUGAACACACAUUCCCGGGCCUGGGAGGCGAUCAGGGCCGAUCAAGUACAAUACGAAACAAGUAUGCCUUAUAAAAAUAAUAUAUUUACAGAUUUUGAAAAGUAUUAAAACCAAUAUUUACAACA